CCUACGGGUGGCAGCAGUGAGGAAUAUUGGUCAAUGGCCGUAAGGCUGAACCAGCCAAGUAGCGUGAAGGAAGACUGCUCUAUGGGUUGUAAACUUCUUUUAUAAGGGAAUAAAGUUAUCCACGUGUGGCUUUUUGUAUGUACUUUAUGAAUAAGGAUCGGCUAACUCCGUGCCAGCAGCCGCGGUAAUACGGAGGAUCCGAGCGUUAUCCGGAUUUAUUGGGUUUAAAGGGUGCGUAGAUGGUUUGUUAAGUCAGUGGUGAAAGUUUGUGGCUCAACCGUAAAAUUGCAGUUGAAACUGGAAGUCUUGAGUAUAGUUGAGGUAGGCGGAAUUCGUGGUGUAGCGGUGAAAUGCAUAGAUAUCACGAAGAACUCCGAUUGCGAAGGCAGCUUACUAAGC
This 399-nucleotide ribosomal RNA is filed under the name uncultured bacterium. RNAcentral describes it as "partial 16S ribosomal RNA". It matches the Rfam family "Bacterial small subunit ribosomal RNA", at positions 338 to 734 of the family's 1533-position model. The record is from RNAcentral.